GCAUUGAUCCUUAUGAAGUAUUCCAAGAUGCAGAAUGGGCCCUUUUGAUAGGAGCAAAGCCUCGAGGGCCGGGAAUGGAACGUGCUGGUUUAUUAGAUAUAAAUGGGCAGAUAUUUGCUGAACAAGGCAAAGCUCUAAAUGCUGUGGCAUCCCCAAACGUCAAAGUCAUAGUUGUGGGCAAUCCCUGCAAUACCAAUGCAUUAAUUUGUUUGAAAAAUGCUCCGAGAAUUCCCGCAAAGAACUUCCACGCUUUAACUCGAUUAGACGAGAAUA
This 273-nucleotide unclassified non-coding RNA is filed under the name Hevea brasiliensis (rubber tree). The record is from RNAcentral. Lineage: Eukaryota; Viridiplantae; Streptophyta; Magnoliopsida; Malpighiales; Euphorbiaceae.